GACGAACGCUGGCGGCGUGCCUAAUACAUGCAAGUCGAACGCAGUUGCGAACGGGUGAGUAACGCGUAGGUAACUGCCUCAUAGCGGGGGAUAACUAUUGGAAACGAUAGCUAAUACCGCAUACUGUGAGAUGGACCUGCGUUGUAUUAGCUAGUUGGUGAGGUAAAGGCUCACCAAGGCGACGAUACAUAGCCGACCUUAGAGGGUGGUCGGCCCCACGGGGACUGGGACACGGCCCAGGCUUCCACGGGAGGCAGCAGGUGGGAAUCUUCGGCAAUUGACGGAAGGCUGACCGAGCAACGGCGCGGGAGUGAAGAAGGUUUUCGGGUCGUAAAGCUCUGUUGUUAGAGAAGCGGUAACUACCCAGAAAGGGACGGCUAACUACGUGCCAGCAGCCGCGGUAAUUC
Molecule: ribosomal RNA, 407 nt
Filed under: uncultured bacterium
Lineage: Bacteria
Description: partial 16S ribosomal RNA
Rfam family: Bacterial small subunit ribosomal RNA
Source: RNAcentral